Molecule: ribosomal RNA, 235 nt
Filed under: uncultured bacterium
Lineage: Bacteria
Description: partial 16S ribosomal RNA
Rfam family: Bacterial small subunit ribosomal RNA
Source: RNAcentral
CGACAGGGAGCGGAACCCGAAAGACCUGUCUCAGUUCGGAUUGGAGUCUGNAACCCGACUCCAUGAAGCUGGAUUCGCUAGUAAUCGCGCAUCAGCCACGGCGCGGUGAAUACGUUCCCGGGCCUUGUACACACCGCCCGUCAAGCCAUGGAAGCCGGGGGUGCCUGAAGUGCGCUGCCGCAAGGAGCGCCCUAGGGUAAAACCGGUGACUGGGGCUAAGUCGUAACAAGGUACC